GCUUCUGUAGCUCAGCGGUAGAGCACUCCCUUGGUAAGGGAGAGGUCAUCGGUUCAAGUCCGAUCAGAAGCU
RNAcentral lists this transfer RNA (72 nucleotides) under Deinococcus deserti VCD115. It matches the Rfam family "tRNA". Rfam says of the family: Transfer RNA (tRNA) molecules are approximately 80 nucleotides in length. Their secondary structure includes four short double-helical elements and three loops (D, anti-codon, and T loops). Lineage: Bacteria; Thermotogati; Deinococcota; Deinococci; Deinococcales; Deinococcaceae. The record is from Rfam by way of RNAcentral.